UACGUGGGUGGCAAGCGUUGUCCGGAAUUAUUGGGCGUAAAGCGCGCGCAGGCGGCCUCUUAAGUCUGAUGUGAAAGCCCCCCGGCUCAACCGGGGGAGGGCCAUUGGAAACUGGGAGGCUUGAGUAUAGGAGAGAAGAGUGGAAUUCCACGUGUAGCGGUGAAAUGCGUAGAGAUGUGGAGGAACACCAGUGGCGAAGGCGACUCUUUGGCCUAUAACUGACGCUGAGGCGCGAAAGCGUGGGGAGCAAACAGG
This 255-nucleotide ribosomal RNA is filed under the name uncultured bacterium. RNAcentral's name for it is "partial 16S ribosomal RNA". It matches the Rfam family "Bacterial small subunit ribosomal RNA", at positions 524 to 776 of the family's 1533-position model. The record is from RNAcentral.